GCCUGGGUGGCUCAGUCGGUUGAGCGUCCGACUUCGGCUCAGGUCAUGAUCUCGCUGUCCGUGAGUUCAAGCCCCACGUCAGGCU
RNAcentral lists this transfer RNA (85 nucleotides) under Felis catus (domestic cat). It matches the Rfam family "tRNA". From Rfam's summary of the family: Transfer RNA (tRNA) molecules are approximately 80 nucleotides in length. Their secondary structure includes four short double-helical elements and three loops (D, anti-codon, and T loops). Lineage: Eukaryota; Metazoa; Chordata; Mammalia; Carnivora; Felidae. The record is from Rfam by way of RNAcentral.